GCUGGCAAGUGAUGAUCUGAUAUCCUACACUCUCAAUGGAAAAUUCCAUGUGUGGAUUAUUAAUCUCAUCUUAUUAUCUGAUGCCUUG
This is a non-coding RNA of Triticum aestivum (bread wheat), 88 nucleotides long. Lineage: Eukaryota; Viridiplantae; Streptophyta; Magnoliopsida; Poales; Poaceae. The record is from Rfam.